GUCGAACGGUAACAGGAAGCAGCUUGCUGCUUCGCUGACGAGUGGCGGACGGGUGAGUAAUGUCUGGGAAACUGCCUGAUGGAGGGGGAUAACUACUGGAAACGGUGGCUAAUACCGCAUAACGUCGCAAGACCAAAGAGGGGGACCUUCGGGCCUCUUGCCAUCAGAUGUGCCCAGAUGGGAUUAGCUUGUUGGUGAGGUAACGGCUCACCAAGGCGACGAUCCCUAGCUGGUCUGAGAGGAUGACCAGCCACACUGGAACUGAGACACGGUCCAGACUCCUACGGGAGGCAGCAGUGGGGAAUAUUGCACAAUGGGCGCAAGCCUGAUGCAGCCAUGCCGCGUGUAUGAAGAAGGCCUUCGGGUUGUAAAGUACUU
RNAcentral lists this ribosomal RNA (378 nucleotides) under Salmonella enterica subsp. enterica. RNAcentral describes it as "bacterial SSU rRNA". It matches the Rfam family "Bacterial small subunit ribosomal RNA", at positions 61 to 435 of the family's 1533-position model. Lineage: Bacteria; Pseudomonadati; Pseudomonadota; Gammaproteobacteria; Enterobacterales; Enterobacteriaceae. RNAcentral also lists the same sequence under 2 other names. The record is from RNAcentral.